GGAGAGAUGCCGGAGCGGUUAAACGGCGCCGGUUGGAAACCGGAUGGUCGUCGUGAUGCGACGACACCAGGGUUCGAAUCCCUGUCUCUCCG
RNAcentral lists this transfer RNA (92 nucleotides) under Gallionellaceae bacterium. RNAcentral describes it as "tRNA-Ser". It matches the Rfam family "tRNA". From Rfam's summary of the family: Transfer RNA (tRNA) molecules are approximately 80 nucleotides in length. Lineage: Bacteria; Pseudomonadati; Pseudomonadota; Betaproteobacteria; Nitrosomonadales; Gallionellaceae. The record is from RNAcentral.